Long non-coding RNA from Agelaius phoeniceus (red-winged blackbird), 206 nucleotides. RefSeq lists it as uncharacterized. The record is from RefSeq and is a predicted model, not a curated record. Lineage: Eukaryota; Metazoa; Chordata; Aves; Passeriformes; Icteridae.
CUGAUUUUCCCCUCCGUUCGUGACAAUAUUCUGCUAUUUGGUGUUUUCCUUAUAGCCGCGGUGUCCGAAGACAGCUGACUACCUAUGAAUCUCAGGGUGAUUUUAAAUAACAAACCUGUGUCAGGAAAAAGAAAACCAAGAACAUGGUGUCAUUGGAAAAAGAAGAAAGGGACCAGAACAAGACUAAGAGGAAAAGAAAGAGAAGA